Equus asinus (donkey) is the source of this 10780-nucleotide long non-coding RNA. The record is from Ensembl. NCBI's taxonomy places the organism in Eukaryota, Metazoa, Chordata, Mammalia, Perissodactyla, Equidae.
GUUAACAAUGGGUGAGAUAAACAGCUAAAAGCUAUAAUCAGUAAUUGCAAAAAGGAGAAAACUUUAGUACCUAGAUACUUAAUCAUCAACGGCUGUUUGCUGGUUUCAAUCUCUGUUUGUUUUGUUCUAUAUAUAUCUAUGUCCAUUAGAGAUAUGAUAUUUUUCAACCACUGGAUGGUAUUACCAAAAUUAGUUUCUAAAAGAGCUCUAUAUAAUUGGCUUAAGGAUUCCUGACAGCCUAACCAGGUGAUUAAAGAAGGUCAUCUCCUGCCUGGUGCAGAAACCUCAAGAUAUGUUGGGAGUCUCAAGAAGAGAGGCAUUCACCCAAAUCUAUAGGUAUUACAGGCAGAGUGUGAUGAAUCAUUGAGAACUAAAGCUUCCUUUUCCUGGAAGCCCUGUGAGCUGAAGCUGAACAAGUUGAUAUAAACUUAAGAGCGAUCACCACAAUAGCCUGUGUUUAGAGAAUCUCCAUGCCUGUUUCUGUGUAAGUCACUCAGAAAGUUUGCCUGAACACCCAAUAACAUCAUCAGAGACAUUUCAAACUGCAAAAGAUGCUUCAACCCUGACAUCUAGAAAUCUUGACUGACAUCCCCCUAGGUUCAGAAACUUAUUUACAAUUUGCUCCAACCAUUAACCACUGUUUUUAUUUGUUUCCAUAGAAAUGCCUCUUAUUAAAUACCUGAUUGCUGACAUUGUAGACCUAACUUUGAGAAUCUACCUGCAUCACCACCUCCUGAAAUGAGACACAAUUGUUUAACUUAACUGACUUAUUUUUAAGACUAAAAGAUUAAUUUAAUGACAUAAUGGAGCAGUCUGCCAGCUCAUAUUUUAAUAUGUGAAACUUCCAGGGAAGUUUCAGAGGGGGGAACUGUUGGAGCCCAGGAAAGGCUGCCCCAAAAUAUGUCACAACAACAUACUGAUUAUUUUAAACUAAAGUUACUUGUUCUGGCUUAAAUUUUUGACCCUCCUCUCUGUUCCCCCUGAAAGCAGGGAAUAAAUCUCCUGUGUGAAAUGUACCCUCCCCACACCAAGAGAUAGAGACAUCCUUAUCACCAAAGUUAGGGAAUUCAGGAUUGAGAAGCCUGUAUAAACAAACAUUGUUACUUUUACUAAUUUACUACCUCAAGCCUAAACUCUGCUCAAAUUCCUCACUAAUUACAUACCCUAAACCUAAGUUUUUUUAUUCUGUCAUUUCCUCACAAAUUUAUUGUUUCUUUGUAUAAAAAGAUAUAUAGAAACUGCCUGCUUUGUUCACUUGGAGGGCAUCAUUUCUCUAUGAUCUCCUGUGUGUACAUAGUAAAUUGGUUUUUCUCCUGUUAAUCUGGUCUUACGUCAACUUUAUUAUUAGUCCAGCCAUAAGAACUCAAGAGGGGUAAAGGAGAGAGAUCUCCCUCCCUGACAGAUGUUAACUAAACUUCUUGUGGUAAUUAGUUUGUAAUAUAUAUGUAUAUCAAAUCAUUAUGUUGUACACCUGAAGCUAAUACAAUGUUAUAGGUGAAUUAUAUUGCAAAGAAAUUUUUUAACAGUAAAACAGACUGAGAUGGUGAGAUCUAAUAUUUUUUAUUGGCAAGUGCAAAUUUAGUUCAUACAUGAAAUAUGUUACUAAAUUUGACUAAUAUUUAAAUUGAAAUGUAUUCUUUCUUUAAGGUGUGUUUGAAACUAUAGACUGAAUCCAGAAAAUAAUGAUUACUACUGGAUAUUACCAGAUUGUUACUAAAAGUAAUUUUGUUGUAUUGCAGAGUGGGGCAUUGUUAAAAAUGAUCCAUUCCAGGUGUUAAUUAUGUAAGGUUCAUCUUGGUCUUAAAUCUCAAAUAAUUUGCUUUCUAUCUCCGUUUCUGGGAGGCAUCCAGUUGCCGACAGUCACUCAAGAAAGGAAGGAAGGCUCUCUUUAUUACCAAACUGGAUCCUGCUUUAGAGAAGCUGGGAGAGUAGUGCUGGGCUGGGAAAAGCUUCUCAGAGGUGGAGAAAAUGCGAUCGGCAGUUCCAGCAGAGCAUGUGGGCUCUCUCCCGCUUCCUCCAGCACUGGGGCCAGAGGAGACCAUGCUCCAGUUUCCUAAUCCUCUCCAAGGCCAAGCUCAUCUUGCUUCUGAACCUUCCCUUCAUUUAAGGAGGCCCUGUUUGGGAAGAUCUUAGAGCACCUAACAAAUAGCAACUUUGGUCUGUGAGCUAGAGAGGCGUUCCAUUUGUGCAUCCAAGACAGAAGAGCAGGGUCAGGGAGGGACUACCCAUUGAAAGUCCCCGGUGAGUGUGUUCUGGCUACAACCUCACCCAUGAUAUAUGCAUCUGGUUAAAUCUAGGCAUAUGCUUCAAGAGUGGUAUAAUUUCAUCCCUCCUCUCUGCCAUGGAAUUUGGUCAGUUUUUACCCUUUGAAAGAAACUGACAAUGUUUCUGUCCCUUCUUGUUCACAUUGUUGCAAUGUUUCUGUUCCUGUGGUUUGUAGUGGAAGCAAAGUUCCCACCCCCAAAUUGGAAGGCCUCUGGAAAAGCAACAACAUCCCUUCGUUACUAGCAGUAUAGCCAACAGUUACUAGCAGUAUAGCCAACUCCAUUCCCCAAUAGCCUCCAAGCUAGUAACAACUAUUACCGUUUACUAAGGAUAGAACUGCAUGUCAAACAGUUGUAUCUGCUUCAUUUCUAAUUCUUGCAGUAACUUCAACUUAUAGGCGAAGAAACUAAAGCCCAGAGAAGUCAAGCAAAGUUGCUCAACCUCACCCAGCUAAUGAUAUGAACGGCAAGCCCACAUGUAGGGCUGAUGGAGUGCUGGGCACUCCUCCAGGCAUAGUAUAGAAAUGAGCUCAUUAUUCCUCCCUUACGUCUUUUUUUCAAAGUUUUUGUAAAUUAUUUUUGAUUGUUGCAAAAUCCAUAUAACAUAGAAUUUACCUUCUGAACCAUUUUUAAAUGUACAUCUCCAUGGCAUUAAUUGCAUGCACAUUGUCGCGCUAGCCUCACCACCAUCCAUCUCAGGAAUUAUUUUCAUCUUAUAAAAGUGAAACUCUGUACCCAUUAAAUAAUAGCUCCGCAUUCUCUCCUCCCCUCUUCCCCCAAAUAUUUUAAGGCAGAUACUAUUAUUAUCCAACCCCACCCUACAGAUGAGGAAACUGAGACCCAGAGAGAUUCAGUAACUUUCCCAGAUCACAGCUAGUAUGUGGCAGAGCUGUAAUUCACAGCUAGACAAUCAGGCUCCGGAAGUCCAGUGCUUAGCCACUCUAGGGCCCCAGGGACAUCUAACAGUGUUAUGCUAUACUGUCUUUCUGCUAUUAACCUAUCCAGAAGACCAAGAAACGGGGGCCUAGAAAGUUGAAACAAAUUGCAGAUAAAUCCUUGUAAAGGCAGAAGAGGGAUUUGCAUUCAGACCCCGUGGAUCUCAAGCUGCUUAGCCUGUGGCUUCCUGCAGGAUGAUUAGAUUAGAGCAGCGACCAUAUGCCCCUUGAGUCCUGCUCUCUGCUUCCAUCCAUACCCCAAAGCAGCUCAGGUCCUCCCCCCUCAGUCCUGUGUGAAGUCAUGGGCUCCAGCUUGCUUGUGAUGAAGGAAGUGAACUGCAGGUUCUGGCCAGUGAGUAGUAGGCUGGGCCCCAACUGGGACAUCCUGACUUGACCCUUCUGUACCCUGAGGGGAUGCUGUCUGUGCUAGAAUAGCCUGUGCUCUCCAUAGCUGCUGAGGAAGCCCCUCUUCACCUUUCCAGGCCAGAACUUACCUCUCUCACACCUCUGUCACCUAUCUAACACUGAAUGGAAGACCAGCUGGACCCUUACCUAGCACCUGCAUUCAAGUGGGUGGCGUCAAGGAGGUAGCACUGUCCUGCACACACGUUUCACAUCCUCAUCCUUAUUUACUUCUUCUAGCUUUUUCUUCCUGUUUCCAGCCCUUAAAAUGACCAGCCCUGAGGAAGAGCAGCUUCACUAUGACAGUUGAUAGGAGGUUUUUCCAGUUGAUCAAUGUCAGCUUGGCACCCUUCCUGGGUAAGGUAGAACCUUAGAGCUCUAAUUCGUCAGCACAUUCUAUGAGCUUUCCCCAGAAUAAAUGCCACCACUAACCUCUGCUCACCCCUCCACGAACAACACCCUAGUCCAAGCCCCAUGUUCCUCGCCUGGCGAGCACUCAGACCCCUCUCAACCCUGACACCUCCCAGGCACAAGUGGCCAGAGUCAGCCUUUAAAAAGUCAGUCAGAGCCUCUAAGAUCAGGAACAAGACAAGGACGCUCACUUUCACCACUUAUAUUCAGCAUAGUACUGGAGUUCUAGCUGGAGCAAUUAGGCAAUAAAUAAAUAAAUAGAUAGCAUCCAAGUGGGAAAGGAAGAAGUAAAAUUAUCUCUGUUCACAGGCGACAUGAACUUGUAUGUAGAAAACCCUAAAGAUUCCACAAAAAUCUGUUAGACCUAAUAUACUCAUUUAGCAAAGUUGAAUCAACACACAAAAAUCAGUUGUAUUUCUAUACACUAACAAUGAACAAUCUGAAAAGGAAAUUAAUAUAACAAUGCUACUUACAAUAGCAUCAAAAAGAAUAAAAUACUUCAGGAAUAAACUUAACUAAGGAAGUGAAAGACUUGUACACUGAAAACUAUAAAACAUUGCUGAAAGAAAUUAAAGAAGACACAAAUAAAUGAAAAUACACCCUGGUCAUGGAUUGGAAGACUUAAGAUUGCUAAAAUGUCCACGCCACCCAAAGCGAUCUACAGAUGCAGUGCAAUCCCUACCAAAAUACCAACAAGGUUUUUUCAGAAAGAGAAAAACCCACCCUAAAAUUCAUAUGGAAUUUCAAGAACAAAGCUGGAGGACUUAUACUUCCUGAUUUCAAAACUUACUACAAAGCCACAGUAAUCAAAACAGUGUGGUGCUAGUACAAAGAGAGACACGUGGACCAGUAGAAUAGAAUAGAGAGCCUAGAAAUAAACGCUUGCAUAAAUGGUCAAAUGAUUUUUGACAAAAGUGCCAAGACCACUCAAUGGGGAUAAAUCAGUCUUUUCAGCAAAUGAUUGUUGGGAAAACUGAAUAUUGACAUGCAAAUCAUGAAGUUGGACGCUUACCUUUCACCAUACACAAAAUCAAAAGUUAAUUCAAAAUGAGUCAAAGACCUACACACAAGAACUAAAACAGUAAAAUUCUUAGAAGAAAACAUUGAGGGAAAGCUUCACGGUGAGAUUUAUCAGUGAUUUCUUGGAUAUCAUAAGAAACGCAUAGGCAAGAAAAGAAAAAAAUAGAUAAAUCAGCUACAUCAAAAUCUAAACCUUCUGUGUAUCAAAGUACACAACUACUAGAGUGAAAAGUGAACCCAUGAAUGGGAGAAAGUAUUUGAAAAUCAGAUAUCUGAUGAGGGGUUAAUAUCUAGAAUAUAUAAAGAACUCCUACAACUCAAUAACAACAAAACAAAUGAUGCAAUUAAAAAAUGAGCAAAGAACUUGAGUAGACAUUUCUCCAAAGAAGACGAACAAACGACUAACAAACACAUGAAAAGAUGCUCAACGUCACUAAUCAUUAGGGAAAUGCAAAUCCAAACCACAACUAUUAGGAUGGCUAUUAUUAAAAAAAAAAACAACCCAGAAAAUUUGUCAAUAAGGAUGUGGAGAAAUUAGAACCCUUGUGCAUUGCUGGUGUGAAUAUACAAUGGUGCAGCCUCUGUGGAAAACUGUAUGGUGGUUCCUCAAAUAGUUAAAUAUGGAAUUCCCACAUGAUCUAGCAAUUCUACUUCAGGGUAUAUAUUCAAAAGAAUCGAAAGCAGAACUCAGAGAUAUUUGUACACCCAUGUUUAUAGCAGCAUUAUUCACCAUAGCCAAAUGGUGGAGACAACCCAAAUGUCCAUUAAUAGAUGAAUGGAUAAAAUAAAAUGUGGUAUAAUCCGUAAAAUGGAAUAUUAUUCAGCCUUAAAAAGGAAAGAAAUUCUGACACAUAUGACAACAUGGAUGGACCUUGAGAACAAUAUGCUAAGUGAAAUAAACUAGUCACAAAAGGAUAAAUACUGUAGAUUCCACUUAUAUGAGUUACCUAGAGUAGUCAUAUUCGUAGAAACAGAAAGCAGAAUGGUGAUUGCCAUGACCUGAGGGGAGGAGGGAAUGGGGAGUUGCUUAGUAGAUACAGAGUUCCAGUUUUUCAAUAUGUAGAGAGUUCUGGAGAUGGAUGGUGGUGAUGGUACACAACAAUGUGAAUAUACUGAACCAUAUACUUAAAAAUUAUUAAGAUGGGAACUUUAUGUUAUAUGUAUUUUACAACAAAAAAGAAAAGUCAAUCAGACCAUUUUGCAUGACGUCUCUGAGUCCCUCGUGGUUUUCCACCUCACUCAGAAUAAAAUCCAAACUCUGUCCCUGAGCUGAGAGGGCCCCAGGUUCAGCCACACAGGCUCUGCUUUCCCUGAACGUGCCCAGUACAUCCCGUCUUGGGGCCCUUGCUCUUCCUCUUUGUUCCAUCUUCAUGGCAGGCUCUUUUCCCAGAUAAUUGCAUGGCCCAUUCCUUUAUUUCAUUCAGGACUCCACAUAAACAUCACUUCCUUUGACCAUUAUAUUUAACAUAGCACAUCCCUCAAACCCCGUAUCAUACUUUAUUUUCUUCACAACUUUCUUCAGUAUCUGGCAUUAUCUUAACCAUUCAUUAAUGUCUUUAUUGUCUGUCUCCAUCACUAAAAUGAGAACUCCACAAGGCUAGAGACUUUGCCUUGCUCAUUUCUGUGUCCCCGCUGCCUAGAACAGUGCUGGCCCACAGUAGAUGUUCAGUAAAGAUGAGUCAAAGGGACUAAUGAAGGAAGAAUACUGCACAACAGACAUGUUGGUGAAAUUGGUGGAGGAGGUAGAACUGGGAGCUACCAAACGGUGGAAUCAGGAUCCCAAAAGACCUCGAGAGGUUGGUAUGCUGGGCUAAAGUCAUACAAUGAAAUUUAACAAGGGUACUUGUAAAAAGUUGCACUUAGGUCAACAGCACAAAUCAGCACAGGAUGAAGAGGAAAUGGCUUGAGAGCAGCAGCAUCACUGGCAGACUUGGAAGCUGCACGUCAGCAGGGAGCUGGCAAUGGGGUCGAUGAGGUCUGCAGGAAGACGCUGUGGUCUUAGCCCACGUUGGAAGAACAGAGUGAUCUGGCUUCUGUCCUUUGUGUGGGAUACUCCAUGGGGCAGUCCCGUCAGGCUGGGGCUUUACGCUUUAAGUAGACAGAGGUUAUUCAACUCCAUUCUGAGCACAAUGACCAGAAUAGCAAAGGCAUUCAAAAUCACAUCCUAUAAGAAAGAAUAGAAGGAUCUGGAAACAGUUAGCCCAUAGAUGGUAGAUCUGGAAGCCAGAUAGAGCUAAGUCAAAUUCUGGUUCUGACUUUUAUUAGCUGCAGCACAUGGACAAAAUUCUUAACCUCCAUGGUCCUUAGUUGUCCUAUCAUCAAAGCUAGUGUUGUAAAAGGUAAAAUGUAACUGCUUGGUAAGUACAAAGUUAUCAUACACAGGGACCCUUACCCCCACAGAAAAUCUGAAGAGUCAUCCGUUUAAAAUAUAUAUCCAAUUGUCUUCACUGAAAUUGUCAAUGAAAUGUCCUUUACCAGAGUUCAAACAUCAUACGUAAAUUUACCAUGUAAGUUUAAUGCCCCCUUUUGGUGAAUUUUUUUAUCCGUGGUGGGAUCUCAAUUUGAGGCAACACGUAUCUGAUCAAAACUAAAACUAGGUUACCAGAGGGGAAGGGGAGGAGGCAGGAGGGUAAAAGGGGUGAUUAGGCACAUGUGUGCGGUGAUGGAUUGUAGUUAGACUUUGGGUGGUGAACAUGAUGUACACAGAACAUAAUCAGCACAGAAUUUGAAAUAUAUCAUGAUGUACACCCAAAAGUUAUAUAAUGUUAUAAUCCAAUGUUACUGCAAUGAAAAAAAAUUAAAAGAAUUAAGACUAAAUAUACGUGAUGGAAUAUCACGAUAAUAGGAGCAGAUGGAAUAUCGAGAACAGAAAUAGCUCCAAACAAAUAACGUCUUUUGUGUCUCUUCUGUUAGGUUGUUUGUAACCUAAAACAGUUCUGUCCUGGACAGUCUUGAUCCAGCAACCUUAGUAGAUCCCAUGCUUGCGUCUUGACCAAAUUCAUCUUGAAGAGCUUGGUUUUAAAUAACCUGUAGGUUGUACCAUUCAAGAGUCUUACAUUUGGGAGCACAGAGUUAAUUUGCUCUCUGGUGGGUACUCAAGGGUCUGCUCCCCGUCGAGCUGCUGCAGUGUGUAAGAGCAGGCUCAAUGGGUGUCCUUCCACUGGGAUCUGAGUGCUAUUUUUUCUUGGUAUUCCUCUUGUCUCUGGUUUGUAGUCCAUGGCGUGGUCCUCAGUGAGGGGUCAGGGGCAAGACAAGGGCAGCUUGCUGAUGAGAACACUGGCCAGCUCAGUCUAGUUUUUACAAAAGUGGACAACGUCAGAAUGUAACAGCUGAGAUUAGGGUGGCCAUACAACAUGCGAGCCAAACUAGGACACUUUUGAGAGUGAAGUGAGGGGGUGGGUAUGAAGAAUUAUGCUGGCACAAUGUGUUAGUCAGGGCUCUCCGGAGAAACAGAACAAAUAGGAAAUAGAUAUAUGUAUAAAUUAGAAGAAAUUUGGCUUAUGUUGUUGUGGAGGUUGAGAAGUCCCAAAUCUUCAGUCAGUGAGCUGGAGACCUAAUGAUUGGUGGUGGUGUAGUUUCAGUUCAAAUCCAAAGGCCUGAGAACCAGGAGAGCCAACAAGCGUAAGUUCCAGUCUGAGGGGAGGAGACCAAUGUCCCAGCUCAGUCAGGCAGAGAGAGACAGAAAUAGGGAGAGAAUUCUGCCUUAUUUGCCCUUCAUUGUUGAGGCCUUCAACUGAUUGGAUGAGGCCCACCCAAUUAGGAGUGCAAUCAGCUUUACUCAGUCUAUGGAUUCAAAUCUUAAUCUCUUCCAGAAACACCCUCACAGAUACACCAAAGUAACAUUUAACCAAAUAUCUGGGCAUCCUGUGGCCCAGUCAAGUUGACACAGAAAAUUAACCAUUACAGACAACAAGCAGAAACCAGGACUGGAAAAACUAAGAUAGAUGGUCACCCCAAGCAGAGUUCUCUAACGGGGAUAUAACACUAAAAUGCAGAGGUCUUCGAAGAACUGUUUCAAAAGGAUUCAUUAUUUUUCUUGUGCAGAGGAACGAAUUCUCAUGACUAUAAAAGGUGAAAGAGAAGACCAAGACAUUUCUGUUUCACCUACUGGAUCAGCCAGCUUGUUUUUGACAGUUGUAGCAACCUGUUUCACUUUUCCCAGGUUUGGGAAAGGUGGAUGUAGAUAUGGGUAGUAAAACUGUGAAGUGGCCCCAGUAGCCUGCCUGAUAGCUAGAGGAACUUGUCCGUUAAGCGAGGCUCUGUGCGAGGGGUGCACUGAAGGCCUUCUCCAGGUGGGGCCGAACGACAGACUGUGCUGAUGUCUUUGCAACAGGACAAAGGGGUGCUUUGCCCCAGGGGAGUGACUUCACCCACUCUGAAAAUGUCCCUCGCUCGGAGGACGUGUUCGGUAAGUGCAGGAGUCCAAUUCACGUGGCCUCGAUGGUGCUGCUCAGUGAGUCUGCCACACCUGGCGGAUACCCUAGGGUUAUGCUGGUUGGAGGUGAGACAACUAGUCAUAUGAAGGAAGAUUUGAUAAAACUGCUGCACCCCUGGGUGGUCUUGUACUCAGGUGCUGCUUCUCGCCUUUCCGGGCUCUGCACGUUCCCAGAGCCCAGGGUAUGUGUAUUCAUUCUGGGCACCACCAGGUGGCUGCUUGGGGGAAAUUAAAGAUGGGGGGAUUCCCAAAAACCCCUGUCAGGGUCUUAAUUUGGGGCUGGAUCUUGGAAACAGCAACUAAAACUAAACUAAAAACUAGAGGAAGGGGAUUUUUUAGGGCAGGUAAACUAUUCUGUGUGAUACAAUAAUCGUGGACACACGUCAUUAUACAUUUUUCAAAACUCAUAGAAUGUACAACACAAAGAAUGAACCCUAACGUAAACUAUGGAUUUUAAUUAAUAAUAACGUAUCAAUACUGGUAAAUCACUUACAACAAAUGUACCACACUAAUACAAGACGUAAAUAACAGAGGAAACUGUAGGGUUGGUGGGGUAGAAGGAGCAGAUGGAAACUCCGUAAACCUAAAACUACUCUGAAAAAUAAAGUCUAUUAAUUAAAAAACUAAACGAGACAGAGAGGAAUUGUCAGUUUAUUAAGAUAAAAGCAAAGGUGUCAGAAAAUAAGAAAUGUUCAUUGUCUUGGCUGUGUUAUUAACUAGCCUAAUAUAUUUUGUAACAGCCACGCCUGAAGCUAAUAUUACAAGCAUUACGAUUUUACAUCAAGUUGGGAAGUACCCAAAAGCUGAAUCCGAGUCCGUACAGAUUUUUCCAGAAGCCAGAGGACACCCCAGGGUGAGGAUCAUCUCCACCCGCUCUGUCUCAGGCACAGAAGGAAAAUGACGUGUCUCCGCGGGGUGCGAAGAGCAAGCUGCGCCGCUGGGAGCCCGCGGUCCCCUGCUCCAUCAGCCGGGCGCCUCUGGGUCAGUCAUUGUGGUGAAGCUGGGACCCGGCUUCCAGUGGGGCUACACUGCAUGGCCCCAGGCUAAUUCGGUACAGGUGCUGUGCCGCUGCGUUGGGGCCCCCUCCCUGCAGGCUCUGACGGGCCACCACCUCGUCCUCCCCAGGGCUUCUCCCAUGCCUUGGCGGAAUGGCUUUGUGCCCCAACAAUGUGUAAAUGCCGAUGCUAUUUAACCCUUUGAAACUCUAAUUUUAUAAACAUAAUUCAUCUUAUCAAUCAUGCUAUUAUACAAUGUUUAUAAUAGAUCUAUUUUCUCUAUCUUCAUUGAGCAUCAUAAAGAUAUGUACGUUUCUA